UUAGCCGCUGAAAUAGAUGGAUUGUAUAGAUGAGGUUCUAUCUAUUAAAGAGGCUAGCC
Molecule: microRNA precursor, 59 nt
Filed under: Mus musculus (house mouse)
Lineage: Eukaryota; Metazoa; Chordata; Mammalia; Rodentia; Muridae
Description: Mmu-Mir-701_pre stem-loop
Source: RNAcentral